AGGAUGAACGCUGGCGGCGUGCCUAACACAUGCAAGUCGAACGUCCUGUCUCGCAAGAGGCAGGGAGUGGCGGACGGGUGAGUACCACGUGGGUCAUCUACCGUGAGGUGAGGAAUACCGGCGAGAAAUCGCCGACAAGACCGCAUAGCCUCGGUGCAAGUCGAGGAAAGCUCUCUCGAGAGAGGGAGCGCCACACGAGGAGCCUGCGCCCGAUUAGCUAGCUGGUGGAGUAAUGGUUCACCAGGGCGACGAUCGGUAGCUGGUCUGAGAGGACGAUCAGCCACACUGGGAUUGAGAACGGCCCAGACUCCUACGGGGGCAGCAGUGAGGAAUUUUCGUCAAUGGGGGCAACCCUGAACGAGCAACGCCGCGUGCAGGAAGAAGGUUUUCGGAUCGUAAACUGCUUUUCUCGGGAAGAGAACGGACGGUACCCGAGGAAUCAGCCCCGGCUAACUACGUGCCAGCAGCCGCGGU
Molecule: ribosomal RNA, 474 nt
Filed under: uncultured bacterium
Lineage: Bacteria
Description: SSU rRNA
Rfam family: Bacterial small subunit ribosomal RNA
Source: RNAcentral